GCCUGCCCAGUGAUAAAAUUCAACGGCCGCGGUACCCUAACCGUGCGAAGGUAGCAUAAUCACUUGUUCUCUAAAUAGGGACUAGUAUCAACGGCACCACGAGGGCUGUACUGUCUCCUUUCUCCCAUCAGUGAAACUGAUCUCCCCGUGAAAAAGCGGGGAUUAUUAUAUAAGACGAGAAGACCCCAUGGAGCUUUAAACUCAUCAUCCACUUCCUCACUUCUAUACCCAACCAUAUAAGGAACCUGUGUGAUAGUUUUGGGUUGGGGGGACCACGGAGUACAAUUUAACCUCCAUGACAAAUGGGCUACGCCCUUAUCUACGAACUACAACUCUAAGAAUCAUAAGCUGAUGUUUAAUGACCCGACAAUUCGAUCAACGAACCAAGUUACCCUGGGGAUAACAGCGCAAUCUACUUUAAGAGCCCCUAUCGACAAGUAGGUUUACGACCUCGAUGUUGGAUCAGGGCAUCCUGGGGGUGCAGCCGCUCCUAAUGGUUCGUUUGUUCAACGAUUAAAACCCU
Molecule: ribosomal RNA, 523 nt
Filed under: Nidirana yeae (Ye's music frog)
Lineage: Eukaryota; Metazoa; Chordata; Amphibia; Anura; Ranidae
Description: partial large subunit ribosomal RNA
Rfam family: Bacterial large subunit ribosomal RNA
Source: RNAcentral